UAAAAUCUAUCUCAACUUACUAAUUCAUUACAUGGCAUUUUGCCAAUGUUUUCUAAUGGUGGUCUGGUGGAAAAUUCAGCCUUUUUUUGUACUACAGCUAAUUUAUCAAUUCUAAAACAAUUUAUGUUGCCUGUAAAGGCAGAAUUCUGUUAUCGAGCAAGUUAGCUCCAGAUAGACUAGGGCAAAGCAAAGCAUGAGAUCUGAAAUAUGGAAACUUGGGAGUUUUUGUUUUGUUAUGCCAGUUAAAUUUCAGAUACUGAAUUUCUAAAAUAAAAACUUAUAUUUCUUUUAGCUUUCAAGUACCUCAGUUAUAAGAAUCUACUUGGUCAUCCAAGUAGAGAAAUUCUUUAAAUUUGAAAUUAUCUCAGAGAUCGUUCUAUAUACUCACCUAGGGCCAGGGAGAAGCCAGAUCUCAUAGGUUCCCAACUUUCUCAUUAAUGAUGUAUAGUUUUGUAAUUGAAGUCUUUUUUUCCACAUCACACACAGAAUAUGUGUAACAUAUUAAGAUUGUAUGGUUUGGGUGUCACAAUGGGAAAGGAACUCAACUUUAUUUUGUUUGCAUUUCUUUCUUCCUACAUUGGCAAUCACCUCUCCCCUUCUCCGUGAACUUUUCAUUAGGUCGCAGAAAAGACAAACCAUAGUGAACAAUGCAAGUCAAGUGUGGGCUUGUGGAAUUGUCUUUAAAUCUCCUGAAGGGAUUGAAACUGGAGAAUUGUUUUCAGUAGGGAAUUUGGUUAAACCAGAAUGAUGGCUGUCUAAAAAUUCUUGUUGGUUUUUAAUGUAAGCCAAAUAAUACAUUCUAUCCUCAGUUGUUUAAGUUAUGGGGUCAAAGUGAACAUAAAUAAAUUGGUUCCACCAAAUCCAUUCUUUUAUCAGUCUUUAAGACAAACAGAGGUUUACUAAACAUCUAUUACAUAGACCUACUUUCACUGGGAAUUUAAUUCCACUACCACUUUAUGAGUUACUUAUCUACAUGGUAUUUACAUUUUUCAGGUGGAGAAUCUGGCACCCAAAGAACAUUUUCCCAAUACAUAUGUGAUUAGUAAGAACUAGGGAUUCAAAUCUGGUUUGGUUAGGUUAGGGAUUCUAGAAACUAAAGUACUGCCUACUGACCCACUCUGCUUCCCAUAAAAAUAACUGGAUAUGAAGUCAAGGCAAAUAAUUUUUUAAAAAUCCUCUGCAUAAGCCAAGGUACUUCUUUGCCAAGCUCUGAAAUUGUAUCAUAUGCUCUUAUUUCAGAGAAAAAAAAACACUAAAUAUCAGCUCCUACUACAGUAGAUUAUGUAUUAGGGAGGGGUAAGACUAGGGUAAAACCCCAUAUGAAUGAGUGUCAAUAUGGCAUAUAAGUUGGUUCCAUGGAAAAACCUUUUCCAUUUUUGUUUAAGAUGUAUAAACACUGAUGUAGUGCCAUUUGCAAUUCUUUAUACCUUUUCAGAGUUCCUAAUCAUUUCCAGUUAUCUGCUUUCAUAACCAUUCCAUUUUUUCAUCCUGAAAUAUGAUGAAAGCACACAAACGACACAGUACAAUUGAGGGGCACACAGUGGGUCCUCAUCUUCAACACCCCAAAAUAAUAACAAAGACAAAGGGUACAGAGUCAUUGUAACACAACCUUGAUGGAGCUUAAACAUCUAGUGAAAUCUCUUGGAACUAAACUGAAGAAAGUCAUUCAUUAUAGCAAACGUUAGGAGCUUAGAAUUUUAAUGUUUUGUUUGCCAAUAACAAUUUGUGAUGCAUGACUAAUAUAGAUAUACUUCAGGAGAUAAAGUCUCAGUGUUAAAAACACACACCCUGCUUUCUUUUGUUUUUAUCUCUGGAUGAGACGUAGUGCAAUCCAGAGUGGACCAGAAAGAAGUAAUGAAGAAGAAUGAAAGGUUUUGGAAAGAAAGCAGGAAUGUGUUCAAUAUCUAAUUCUGUAUUAAACUCCCGAAGGACAUCCCUUAUAAAUCUUCUCCCAUAAUUUUCUUUCUCAUCCCUCCACCCCUUAAUUUUGUUUCUGAGCUCCUAACAAUUCUUGGCUCUUUAAUACCUGUGAGAGGGGAAAUGACUCUUGAUGUAACUGAGCAGCCUGGAAAGUUCCGAACCAUCAAAAGGAAGGCCAGAGGGCUGGCUCCCUUUCCGCAGCCCCCUCCCCCAUCAGUCCUCUGGCUUGAGGAAGUGCUUAUUGGAACAUUCCGAUUUCCCUAAGCAAACGCUUUCCCCUCACAUCCCUUUCUCUUUUAUUCCUUUUUAUUUUCUUUAAUUAAGCAAGCAAAUUGGCCACGCCAGUGGAAUUCAGCUCACACCAGUUCCGUCCCUUUCCAUUUUCAGUCUGUUCUGCGCAAAUAAAAUACACUAGAUCUCAUCAGGCACCUAGAAUUUUAGACAUUUGUCUAUUUAAUCCUGACUCCACUCCAUCAAGAAGCCAGCAUGUAUAAAAACAAAAUCUGGCUUUUCGCAACGCCUGCCCCAGGCUUGGGUUCCCAGCAAUCGUUACAAGAUACAGCCCUAGUCGGAAACUCCCAGCCCUGCUGAGGGAGAAAAACGGGGUUUUCCAAAGACCUGUCCCUCGGGGUUUAAAAGCGGGUCCCCAGGGAACUUCGCUUUCAGUUCUCCAGGAAGUUCGGAGCUGCUAGAACUCAGCCACUUGCUGAACCCAGGCUGCCUAUCCUUUUGAUCAUAUAAUCUGUGAUUGUGGCAUUCUGUCAAACAUUUGAAUAGAAUCCAUUUUUCCAUCAUCAUCAUCAUCAUCAUCAUCAUCAGUACCAGCCUCACCAUCAUCACUAUUCUACAAUGAGCACCAAGAUCUCACAUUCCGGAGGAAGAUAUUUCAAUGUAGAUUAUAGCUUUUUUAAUUUAAACUUUUUUGAAAUGCAAAUAUGAAAAUUAUAUUGUAUUCAUCCACCAGAGGGAGCCUCCAAAUCUACUGUCUAAAAGGAAAUAAGGCUGAAAUAAAUAAGUGGAAAUUUUGUACAUUU
Molecule: non-coding RNA, 2954 nt
Organism: Heterocephalus glaber (naked mole-rat)
Lineage: Eukaryota; Metazoa; Chordata; Mammalia; Rodentia; Bathyergidae
Source: RefSeq, a predicted model, not a curated record